This 70-nucleotide transfer RNA is filed under the name Leptomyrmex pallens. RNAcentral's name for it is "tRNA-Trp". The record is from RNAcentral. Lineage: Eukaryota; Metazoa; Arthropoda; Insecta; Hymenoptera; Formicidae.
AAAUUUUAGGUUAAAAAAACUCUAAACCUUCAAAGUUUAAUAUAUAUUUUAUAAAUAAUAUAAAUUUUAU